This 253-nucleotide ribosomal RNA is filed under the name uncultured bacterium. Its description in RNAcentral is "partial 16S ribosomal RNA". It matches the Rfam family "Bacterial small subunit ribosomal RNA", at positions 524 to 776 of the family's 1533-position model. The record is from RNAcentral.
UACGUAGGGUGCAAGCGUUAAUCGGAAUUACUGGGCGUAAAGCGUGCGCAGGCGGUUGUGCAAGUCAGAUGUGAAAUCCCCGGGCUUAACCUGGGAAUUGCAUUUGUGACUGCACGGCUAGAGUGUGUCAGAGGGGGGUAGAAUUCCACGUGUAGCAGUGAAAUGCGUAGAUAUGUGGAGGAAUACCGAUGGCGAAGGCAGCCCCCUGGGAUAACACUGACGCUCAUGCACGAAAGCGUGGGGAGCAAACAGG